This 699-nucleotide ribosomal RNA is filed under the name Shewanella sp. RNAcentral describes it as "bacterial SSU rRNA". It matches the Rfam family "Bacterial small subunit ribosomal RNA", at positions 89 to 784 of the family's 1533-position model. Lineage: Bacteria; Pseudomonadati; Pseudomonadota; Gammaproteobacteria; Alteromonadales; Shewanellaceae. The record is from RNAcentral.
UGACGAGCGGCGGACGGGUGAGUAAUGCCUGGGAAUUUGCCCAUUUGUGGGGGAUAACAGUUGGAAACGACUGCUAAUACCGCAUACGCCCUACGGGGGAAAGCAGGGGACCUUCGGGCCUUGCGCUGAUGGAUAAGCCCAGGUGGGAUUAGCUAGUAGGUGAGGUAAAGGCUCACCUAGGCGACGAUCCCUAGCUGGUCUGAGAGGAUGAUCAGCCACACUGGGACUGAGACACGGCCCAGACUCCUACGGGAGGCAGCAGUGGGGAAUAUUGCACAAUGGGGGAAACCCUGAUGCAGCCAUGCCGCGUGUGUGAAGAAGGCCUUCGGGUUGUAAAGCACUUUCAGCGAGGAGGAAAGGGUGUAAGUUAAUACCUUACAUCUGUGACGUUACUCGCAGAAGAAGCACCGGCUAACUCCGUGCCAGCAGCCGCGGUAAUACGGAGGGUGCGAGCGUUAAUCGGAAUUACUGGGCGUAAAGCGUGCGCAGGCGGUUUGUUAAGCGAGAUGUGAAAGCCCCGGGCUCAACCUGGGAACCGCAUUUCGAACUGGCAAACUAGAGUCUUGUAGAGGGGGGUAGAAUUCCAGGUGUAGCGGUGAAAUGCGUAGAGAUCUGGAGGAAUACCGGUGGCGAAGGCGGCCCCCUGGACAAAGACUGACGCUCAGGCACGAAAGCGUGGGGAGCAAACAGGAUUAGAUA